GGGCCCGCACAAGCGGUGGAGCAUGUGGUUUAAUUCGAUGAUACGCGAGGAACCUUACCAGGGCUUAAAUGUAGUGGGACAGGUCUAGAGAUAGACCCUUCUUCGGACUCAUUACAAGGUGCUGCAUGGUUGUCGUCAGCUCGUGCCGUGAGUGUCAGGUUAAGUCCUAUAACGAGCGCAACCCCUAUCGUUAGUUGCCAGCGGGUCAUGCCGGGAACUCUAGCGAAACUGCCGGUGCAAACCGUGAGGAAGGUGGGGGAUGACGUCAAAUCAUCACGGCCCUUACGUCCUGGGCUACACACGUGCUACAAUGGCCGGUACAGAGAGCAGCCCACUACGCGAGUAG
Molecule: ribosomal RNA, 346 nt
Filed under: uncultured bacterium
Lineage: Bacteria
Description: bacterial SSU rRNA
Rfam family: Bacterial small subunit ribosomal RNA
Source: RNAcentral